RNAcentral lists this long non-coding RNA (2692 nucleotides) under Podarcis lilfordi (Lilford's wall lizard). The record is from RNAcentral. Lineage: Eukaryota; Metazoa; Chordata; Lepidosauria; Squamata; Lacertidae.
CGGGACGAGAGACGACGAACGCGGGCGCCAUCUUGAGAGAGGCACUGCAGGCGGAAGUGGCAGUUGUUGUUCGUUACGUUUAUUCUAUCGUUCCCUCUCCGUCGUUUAACCGCCACAGCAACCCUGCGAGGUAGGUCCGGCUGAGAGUGAGCUACUGCCCAAGGUCACCCUGUGAGUUGCGUAUGGCCGAGUGGGGAUUUGAACUGUUGGCUCCCAAGAUGUACUGUUGUCAGUACUCUGGUAUUUGGACAUCUAGGGGUUAAUAUACCCACCCAAACAAGCAAAAUAUAGCAAGCCAGUUUUAUAACCCUUUGUGUGUAAGCUGACCAAAACUUAACCUCUCCAUAUUAGGCAAAACUGCAGAAAUGUGUUCUUUAUGGAGAAUGCUGUGGUUUUGCCAGAUGCCCUGCUCUCCUUUAUGGGCCCUGUGCCAAUUGUUAAAGAUCCCCAUUAAAAGGUAAAGGGACCCCUGACCAUUAGGUCCAGUCGUGGCCGACUCUGGGGUUGCGGCGCUCAUCUCACUUUAUUGUCUGAGGGAACCGGCGUACAGCUUCCGGGUCAUGUGGCCAGCAUGACAAAGCUGCUUUUGGUGAACCAGAGCAGCGCACAGAAACGCCGUUUACCUUCCCGCCGGAGCGGUACCUGUUUAUCUACUUGCACUUUGACGUGCUUUCGAACUGCUAGGUUGGCAGGAACAGGGACCGAGCAACGGGAGCUCACCCCGUCACAGGGAUUUGAACCGCUGACCUUCUGAUCGGCAUGUCCUAGGCUCUGUGGUUUAACUCACAGCACCACCCAUGUCCCAAGGAUCCCCAUUACUCCGUCUCAAAUUCUGACUACAUCUAAAGACAGCUUGUACCCACUGUGCAAUAUGAGCUAUUGAAACAAUUGGGCUUGAAACUUAUACUUAAACAAACCACUUUCCAGGCCUUAAAAUACAGAGUCAAAUUUUAAAGCACAUUUGGGGAUUUGAUCUCCCUAGCUGUGUCUCCCUAGCUACAGCCUAUUAUCGACUUAACUGUUUGAGUUCUUGCACCAAAUCCAUUCAGAAUUCAUACUUAAACCCAAAAUGGCUUUUUCACCCAGCCUUCUAUUUUUUCAGCAUGUAGCAAGAGUGCUAUCUCACUUUUACCGUCUCUUUCACUCUCUAAACUUUUUGUAUUUAACAGUAAGAGUUAAGAGACUGAUCCAACAAAGGCAUUUGUCUAAAGGAGAUGUUUGCAAUGUCAAAUGAUUCAAAAAGAGAGUUCUCCAAAGUAGCAGGUAUUUCUGUUCUCAACAGAUGCAAACAUGACAGUUCACCGAAGGAGCAUGUUUCUGGUGUCAACUGAUUUUUAAAAAGCAUUUGUCUGAAGGAGCAGAUGUUUGCAAAGUGAACCAAUCCAAAAAAAGGACGCUCUCCAAAGGAGAUGUUUGCAAUGUCAACUGAUCCAAAGAAGACAGUUCUCUGAAGGAGCAGAGGUUUGCGAAGUCAACUGCUCCAAAAAGAUGCUCUCCGAAGGAGCAAUGUCUGCGAAGAUCCAACUGAUCCAAAAAAGACAGUUUUCUCAAGAAGCAAAUGGAGCUCCUCCAUGAUGAGGUCUAUAAAGAAAGGCAGGUCUUCUGGCUGAGCUCCAUGAGCCAAAUAUUUCUGAUAUCAACUGAUCCAAAGAAGACAGUUCUACAAAAGCGCAGAUGUUUCUGAUGCCAACUGAUGCAAAUACAGUUCUCUGAAGGGGCAGAUGUUUCUGAUCUCAACAAAUCCAAAAAAAGACAGCUCUCCGAAGGUAGAUGGCUGCAAUACCGACUGAUCCAAAAGAGACAGUUCUCUAAAGCAGCAGGGUAUUUCUCAUGUCAUCUGAUCCAAAAAACACAUUUCUCUGGAACUAGUUUUUGCAAUGCCAACUGAUAAAAAAGAUAAUUCUCUGAAGAUGUUUCCAUUGUCAACUUAUGCAAAGAACAGUUUUCACAAGGAGCAGAUGUUUGCAAUUGUCAAUUGUUCCAAAAUAGUUUCCCCAACCUUGCAACAAACCAGGGCAGCCUCCAGAUGUUUCUUUGGGCUCCCUUCAGCCACCCACUGGCCCAAAAUGGUCUCAGGGAGAAGAUUAUUGGGGGUCUUGUUGCAGUUCUGCAAACAUCUGGUGAAUUGUGUUUCUUCUACAACAGCUGGCUGGUUGCCAUUUAUGUUUUUCUCAUUGAUUUGGGAUGGGAACCUGGGACCAUAAUAAAUAAAUAGGUAUCUCAGGUUUACGCUUUUUGGACAAAACAGACAAAGGCGCAGUUGACUUUCUCAUAACCUGUGGACCUAACCAGAUUAACUCUUCAACUGCUUUGCAGAAUAGAUGUCAGAUUCUAGACUACAUCACAAAUGAGAGGUGUGAAGAGUUGUAAGCGCAGAGUGCUUUCAAUUAUUGAAGUUACAAGAGAUGCAUUCUGACAGAAUUAAAAGCUUGGUACAAAAACCUGUAAAAAAUGGUCAAGUUUCAUUUUGUGGUAGGAGGAGCUAAUCCUACUUUCCCCCACUACACAUCUUGUUCCAUACGAAUUGUUGGGUAAAAAUAGAGUGGAUAAUAAAUAUUCAACCUUCAGAGCAAUUUACCAAAACCUAGUCCCAUUCUAUCAUGUGGUACAUAUCAAGUGGAUUGCACAACCUGUGCACCAAACUCUGCAUUGCUGUCUGUAAACAUACCUCUUGCAGAAAUCACAUUUCAGU